RNAcentral lists this ribosomal RNA (255 nucleotides) under uncultured bacterium. Its description in RNAcentral is "partial 16S ribosomal RNA". It matches the Rfam family "Bacterial small subunit ribosomal RNA", at positions 524 to 776 of the family's 1533-position model. The record is from RNAcentral.
UACAGAGGGUGCGAGCGUUGUUCGGAAUUACUGGGCGUAAAGCGCGCGUAGGUGGUCUUUUAAGUCCGACUGUGAAAUCCCGGGGCUCAACCCCGUGGGCUGCAGGGGAUACUGGGAGACUGGAGACACGUAGAGGCAGGUGGAAUUCCGGGUGUAGCGGUGGAAUGCGUAGAGAUCCGGAAGAACACCGGUGGCGAAGGCGGCCUGCUGGGCAGUGGCUGACGCUGAGGCGCGACAGCGUGGGGAGCAAACAGG